GACGAACGCUGGCGGCGUGCUUAACGCAUGCAAGUCGAACGGAAAGGCCCUGCUUUUGUGGGGUGCUCGAGUGGCGAACGGGUGAGUAACACGUGAGUAACCUGCCCUUGACUUUGGGAUAACUUCAGGAAACUGGGGCUAAUACCGGAUAGGAGCUCCUGCUGCAUGGUGGGGGUUGGAAAGUUUCGGCGGUUGGGGAUGGACUCGCGGCUUAUCAGCUUAUUGGUGGGGUAGUGGCUUACCAAGGCUUUGACGGGUAGCCGGCCUGAGAGGGUGACCGGCCACAUUGGGACUGAGAUACGGCCCAGACUCCUACGGGAGGCAGCAGUGGGGAAUAUUGCACAAUGGGCGGAAGCCUGAUGCAGCAACGCCGCGUGCGGGAUGACGGCCUUCGGGUUGUAAACCGCUUUCGCCUGUGACGAAGCGUAAGUGACGGUAAUGGGUAAAGAAGCACCGGCUAACUACGUG
This 468-nucleotide ribosomal RNA is filed under the name uncultured bacterium. Its description in RNAcentral is "partial 16S ribosomal RNA". It matches the Rfam family "Bacterial small subunit ribosomal RNA", at positions 28 to 507 of the family's 1533-position model. The record is from RNAcentral.